AUGAUGAUGCCCAUGUCGUUGACGAUUGACAUUGUUAUCGUGCUCUUGGCGAAGAGGAUUGUUGACCUCAUGUUGCUCUUGGCGAGGAGGGUUGUCAACCUCAUGUUGCUCUCAGCGAUGAUUGUGUCCAUUGUCUUCUUGCUCUCGAUGGACUUGACGUUCUUGUCUUGCUUGAGAGGGAGCUUGUCUAUCUUGACGAGGAGCUUGUCGAUGCACGCGGUCUUGGUAAAUUCGUUCUUGAGCUUCAUCGCGAAGUGCUUCUUGAUGGAGACGAGCUUGUCGGCCUCGAUUGGCUACGGCACGACUUGA
RNAcentral lists this ribosomal RNA (309 nucleotides) under Triticum aestivum (bread wheat). RNAcentral's name for it is "partial small subunit ribosomal RNA". Lineage: Eukaryota; Viridiplantae; Streptophyta; Magnoliopsida; Poales; Poaceae. The record is from RNAcentral.